AUGCACGCUGGCGGCGUGCCUAAUCCAUGCAAGUCGAGCGAACAGACGAGGAGCUUGCUCCUCUGACGUUAGCGGCGGACGGGGGAGUAACACGUGGAUAACCUACCUAUAAGACUGGGAUAACUUCGGGAAACCGGAGCUAAUACCGGAUAAUAUAUUGAACCGCAUGGUUCAAUAGUGAAAGACGGGUUUGCUGUCACUUAUAGAUGGAUCCGCGCCGCAUUAGCUAGUUGGUAAGGUAACGGCUUACCAAGGCAACGAUGCGUAGCCGACCUGAGAGGGUGAUCGGCCACACUGGAACUGAGACACGGUCCAGACUCCUACGGGAGGCAGCAGUAGGGAAUCUUCCGCAAUGGGCGAAAGCUUGACGGAGCAACGCCGCGUGAGUGAUGAAGGUCUUCGGAUCGUAAAACUCUGUUAUUAGGGAAGAACAAAUGUGUAAGUAACUAUGCACGUCUUGACGGUACCUAAUCAGAAAGCCACGGCUAACUACGUG
RNAcentral lists this ribosomal RNA (496 nucleotides) under uncultured bacterium. Its description in RNAcentral is "partial 16S ribosomal RNA". It matches the Rfam family "Bacterial small subunit ribosomal RNA", at positions 29 to 507 of the family's 1533-position model. The record is from RNAcentral.